RNAcentral lists this transfer RNA (84 nucleotides) under Oceanobacillus jeddahensis. Its description in RNAcentral is "Oceanobacillus jeddahense tRNA-Leu". It matches the Rfam family "tRNA". From Rfam's summary of the family: Transfer RNA (tRNA) molecules are approximately 80 nucleotides in length. Their secondary structure includes four short double-helical elements and three loops (D, anti-codon, and T loops). The record is from RNAcentral. Lineage: Bacteria; Bacillati; Bacillota; Bacilli; Caryophanales; Bacillaceae.
GCGGUCGUGGCGGAAUGGCAGACGCGCCAGGUUGAGGGCCUGGUGGGUGAAUAACUCGUGUGGGUUCAAAUCCCACCGACCGCA